This 492-nucleotide ribosomal RNA is filed under the name uncultured bacterium. RNAcentral describes it as "partial 16S ribosomal RNA". It matches the Rfam family "Bacterial small subunit ribosomal RNA", at positions 29 to 507 of the family's 1533-position model. The record is from RNAcentral.
AGUGAACGCUGGCGGUAGACCUAACACAUGCAAGUCGAACGGCAGCACAGUAAGAGCUUGCUCUUACGGGUGGCGAGUGGCGGACGGGUGAGGAAUACAUCGGAAUCUACUUUUUCGUGGGGGAUAACGUAGGGAAACUUACGCUAAUACCGCAUACGACCUACGGGUGAAAGCAGGGGAUCUUCGGACCUUGCGCGAUUGAAUGAGCCGAUGUCGGAUUAGCUAGUUGGCGGGGUAAAGGCCCACCAAGGCGACGAUCCGUAGCUGGUCUGAGAGGAUGAUCAGCCACACUGGAACUGAGACACGGUCCAGACUCCUACGGGAGGCAGCAGUGGGGAAUAUUGGACAAAGGGCGCAAGCCUGAUCCAGCCAUACCGCGUGGGUGAAGAAGGCCUUCGGGUUGUAAAGCCCUUUUGUUGGGAAAGAAAAGCAGCAGGUUAAUACCCCGCUGUUCUGACGGUACCCAAAGAAUAAGCACCGGCUAACCUCGUG